UGGGGAAUAUUGCACAAUGGGCGCAAGCCUGAUGCAUCCAUGCCGCGUGUGUGAAGAAGGCCUUCGGGUUGUAAAGCACUUUCAGCGGGGAGGAAGGCGGUGAGGUUAAUAACCUCAUCGAUUGACGUUACCCGCAGAAGAAGCACCGGCUAACUCCGUGCCAGCAGCCGCGGUAAUACGGAGGGUGCAAGCGUUAAUCGGAAUUACUGGGCGUAAAGCGCACGCAGGCGGUCUGUCAAGUCGGAUGUGAAAUCCCCGGGCUCAACCUGGGAACUGCAUUCGAAACUGGCAGGCUAGAGUCUUGUAGAGGGGGGUAGAAUUCCAGGUGUAGCGGUGAAAUGCGUAGAGAUCUGGGGGAAUACCGGUGGCGAAGGCGGCCCCCUGGACGAAGACUGACGCUCAGGUGCGAAAGCGUGGGGGGCAAACAGG
This 429-nucleotide ribosomal RNA is filed under the name Chloroflexota bacterium. RNAcentral's name for it is "Chloroflexi bacterium partial 16S ribosomal RNA". It matches the Rfam family "Bacterial small subunit ribosomal RNA", at positions 355 to 776 of the family's 1533-position model. Lineage: Bacteria; Bacillati; Chloroflexota. The record is from RNAcentral.